UACGAAGGGGGCUAGCGUUGCUCGGAAUCACUGGGCGUAAAGGGUGCGUAGGCGGGUCUUUAAGUCAGGGGUGAAAUCCUGGAGCUCAACUCCAGAACUGCCUUUGAUACUGAGGAUCUUGAGUUCGGGAGAGGUGAGUGGAACUGCGAGUGUAGAGGUGAAAUUCGUAGAUAUUCGCAAGAACACCAGUGGCGAAGGCGGCAUCCUGGACCGACACUGACACUGAGGAGCGAAAGCCAGGGGAGCAAACGGG
This 253-nucleotide ribosomal RNA is filed under the name uncultured bacterium. RNAcentral's name for it is "partial 16S ribosomal RNA". It matches the Rfam family "Bacterial small subunit ribosomal RNA", at positions 524 to 776 of the family's 1533-position model. The record is from RNAcentral.